This 202-nucleotide unclassified non-coding RNA is filed under the name Glomeromycetes sp. Its description in RNAcentral is "partial contains 5.8S ribosomal RNA and internal transcribed spacer 2". The stretch from base 1 to 71 matches the Rfam family "5.8S ribosomal RNA", at positions 84 to 154 of the family's 154-position model. Lineage: Eukaryota; Fungi; Glomeromycota; Glomeromycetes. The record is from RNAcentral.
GUGAAUCAUCAAAUUUUUGAACGCAAAUUGCGCUUCCUGGUAUCCCGGGAAGUAUGCCUGUUUGAGGGUCAGUAUUAACAAAAAAUCGUUUUGGGUGCAAAUUGUGAUGUUUCUGGAGUUUGUGCUGAUUUUAACUUUUUUGGUUAAGGGGCUUAAAAUUGACCUUUUUUGCGCAUUUUUAGAGGACCAUAAAUUUUUUUUA